Helianthus annuus (common sunflower) is the source of this 3318-nucleotide RNA transcript. It is a transcript of the gene named ABC transporter C family member 13-like, with no coding region annotated. The transcript is spliced from 8 exons. Lineage: Eukaryota; Viridiplantae; Streptophyta; Magnoliopsida; Asterales; Asteraceae. The record is from RefSeq and is a predicted model, not a curated record.
ACUAAAGUUGGUAAAUGGACACAGGAAAAUUUACUUGUGACUAAUCAUUUCCUUCUUCCUCAAACCCCCCAAAAUUCCAUACCUACACAAAACCUAAAUUAAACCCCACCAAGUUCAGGAGAUCACCGCCGUAUCUCCAGCGUGUGUUUGCAACGACCACCGCCAAUUCCAACUUCCACACAACCCUAACUAGUUUUAGUUACCACGUAUCAACGCUCUCCUCUCAUCUACUCUCCUCCGCAGCGCAAAUUAAGCGUAUGAUUCAGUUUGAAGCAAGCUAGAAUGAGAUUACUCAGAUUGAUUUUCACUUUCCUCCUCCUCCGGAUGCAGGCAGGCUAAUUCGAAAACAUCUUCAGUGGAGACUUUGAGAGAUCUAAAGUCAAAUGGUUGGAUGUGCUUGCUGAUUGGGGCUGUUAUGGGGAUAAUAGAGGUCAAGACUACUAGGAAGCCAAAGAGAAGAUUAUUCAGGUUCUGUUGGUCGCGGCUUUAUAUUCUUUUAGAAGGGGAUGGGGCAAAGGGUUGUGAUUCUUUUGUUGUGUGAGUUUUGGUGUCCAUACAGGUUCCGAAAGGGUGGGAGGGGUAUGUUUAACUGGGCUGCGGUUAAUAUUCGGUAUAUAGUGUGUUGGUACUAGCAACUUAGUUCCCGGAUGUUCAUUUUUCGUAUAUGCGUUCUUUUUCGUGUUAAUUUCAUUUCGGGUGGGAAUCUUUAUUCCAAAAGCUUUAGUGGUGUAUUGGGUCAAGAUGGCCGAUGCAUAAAGUCUAGAUUAUGUUGAGGACAAAAAGGAAGCUAUAAGCUGGAAAUAAGGUUUUUAAUGAAGAGAUUCAGAGGAUAUGAGGUAUUCAGAAGGAUAUAUAGUGUGGUUGAAGGAAUUGAGAAGGUUUACAAGAGGAACCCAAGUUAUAAGAUGUGUAUGUACACCUAAAGAUCAUUGAGAUGUAGUUAAAGCAGCAACAGUUUAGUAUUCCUAAGUGUCCAAUAUGUGUUCCCAGUUUAGCAUUCUUUUAUUUAUUAAUCUUUAGUAAGUUGUUUACAAAUAUAAAUGAUUACUAACUAUAUAUUUAUCUUAUUUAAAAAGACGAGAUUUCAAAUACACAAUUGAUGAAUAUUUGUUAUUUAUUCAACGUUUUUAUCAAUUUAUUGGUGGGUAAACAUGUCUACAUGAAUCUACUUUCACAGCAGGGUUAUAUUUUUUAUUUUAUUUUAUUUUUUUUUUACAAAUUUGAGCUAUAUAAUUAUAACGCACAAAAAGUCUAAACUUAGUUAAUUUUUUUUGUCAAAUUUCAGUAAAAUGACUAGAAUACCCUUCCAUUUUAAAAUAACCAUUUAUUUAUCUCGUUACUCUAUUUUUAAUUCUAAGGACCAUUUGUGUCAUUGCUCUAUUUAAAAGGAUCAUUUAAAAUCUUCAAGUGUUGGCUCUGCAAGCAAAACUCGUACCGUGAAGAGCUCGUAUCCGCCGCUGAAAACCACAACACCAAUCAACAACACGACGACGCUAUUCUAGUUCCGUUAAUCCACAGAAUUGUGCGACACUACGAGCAGUACUACCAAUUCAAAUCCAAUUGGGAGACACGAGAUGCGAUCUCCAUGUUUACUCCAACGUGGCAGAGCAAGGAGGACGCGUUUUUAUGGAUCGGUGGAUGGCAACUGACGUUAGCGAUCCAUUUACUCUACUCCAAAUCAGGAAUCCAGUUUGAAGCCAAAAUCGGAGAUCUUAUUCGUGGAUUGACCACUGGAGGAGAUCUAGGAGAGUUGACGCCAAAUCAGAUCAAACGAAUAGACUAGUUGCAGAGGAAAACAAUCCGUGAAGAACGAGUGUUGAGUGAAAAACUAGCCAAGCAACAGGAGUCGGUGGCAGACAGGUAAAUAUGAACAUUUCUGAACCCAAACCGAAUAAAAAAACGAAUUUUAUUAUUUUUUAUAGUUUUUGAACUAUUUUAGAAUAAAAAAAGUGUUCUAUUAAUAAAUUUUUCAAAAAAUAACAUUUCGUUUAUAUUGGAAACCAUAUAUGGCAUUGAAUAGUUUUUAACAAAACUGGUAUAAAUAAUCCCUGUUAUAUAAAUAUUUUUAAUUUCAUGGGGAAGUUGAGAAUAUUUUGUAGUCCUUUUAAAUAGAGCAAUGACAAAAAUCGUCCUUCGAAUUAUAAAUAGAGUAAUGACAUAAAUGGUCCUUUUAAAAUGGAAGAGUAUUCUAGUCAUUUUACUGAAAUUUGACAUAAAAAUUAACUAAGUUUGGUGUUAGUACCAAAGGUGUUACAAAAUUGAAACCAUGAAACCCGAACCUGUUAAAAAAAGUUAGUACCCAAAGGCGAAACUAGCUAUAGACUGCAGGUCCAUCUUUGUAAUUAACUCUAAACAAAAUCACUUGAUAAUCGAGCAUUGUUUGAAGUAUAUUUUCCCUUUUAGUGAUAUUUUCUGAUUUUAACUUUUUUUGGUGCAUAUUGCAAGCGACCCAUACUUCUUGUCUCAUGGUUUGAUUGCUGGUUAUUUGUCUUAUCGAAUUGGGUAUUGUGUUAUUGGUGGAUCAUGAAACUGUUCUUAGGGAUCCCAAUUUUGCAAGCAUCCUUUUCUUCUAUGGAGUUACCAAACGACAUAGAUCCUUUGUUCUGCCAUGAUUCUUUACUUAACUGUUGGGAAGAUCAAACAAGGCGUAACGGCUCUCAUCUUUCUUUGUUUUGGACAAUUUGUUAUGCAUAUGGAUGGCCGUAUAUGUGUUUAGGCCUAUUAAAGGUACUAAAUGAUUGUCUUGGUUUUGCUGGACCUUUGCUUCUUAAUAUGCUGAUUAAGUAUCUUCAAGAAGGCCUGCUCUUGUGCAAAUACAUUAUAUGUUAUAGUAGGAGCUGGGCCCACAGGAACUGGGAAUUUUAAUGGCUAUCUCCUCGCCAUUUCUCUUAGCUUGACUUCCAUAUUGAAGUUCUCAUGGAAUUUCCUCAAGUGACCAUGACUUUGCCUGAUGGCCUUGAAGAAUCUAUCAUGAAACAUACCACACUUGUUGCUAAUACAUCUAAUAUGCCUGUCGCUGCUCGUGAGGCUUCAAUUUAUACGGAGAAACCAAUAAAGAUGUUUAAUUCCUAUUCAUGUACACAUGUAGCGUAGUGGAUAGCAAUGUAUCGCACUAGGAGAUGCUGCUGCUGUUGUUGCAAGUGCUGCUAAUGCAGGUUGAGACACAAGUGCUGCUAGGAGUGAUGCAGAUUAUCUUGCAGUUGUUGUAUCAUUUGUAGAUAAUAUUUGAUUAGAAGUUUAUGUACGUAGUAUUGGAAUUGAAAAUUUAUGUAUGGAUUUUGGUUUAUUAUAUUGUUAAUAUCAUUAGUUUUGUUUUUA